This is a long non-coding RNA of Zophobas morio, 385 nucleotides long. RefSeq lists it as uncharacterized. The transcript is spliced from 3 exons. The record is from RefSeq and is a predicted model, not a curated record. NCBI's taxonomy places the organism in Eukaryota, Metazoa, Arthropoda, Insecta, Coleoptera, Tenebrionidae.
UUUUGACAUGGGGUUUUUAUAAAGUUAACAAACGAAAAUAUUGUGGUAUAUUAAAAAUGGAGACAAGUGCCUCUGAGGAAGAGAAAAUUGAUAAAGAAGAAGUUCAGCGAUUUGAACUCGAAUGUGAAUUUGUACAGUUGCUAGCUGAUCCUUUAUACUUACAGGAACUUGCAAGGCAUAAAUAUUUUGAGGAUAAGAGUUUUCUUAAUUACCUAAAAUAUCUUCAGUACUGGAAAGAACCGCAAUACUCCCAGUUUCUUAGAUUUCCUCAGUGUCUCUUUUUCUUGGAUAUGUUACAGCAAGCUAGUUUUAGGGGCCUUGCUUACUUCCGACGAUUUCGUUUCUAAUUUAAAACAACAACAACAUCUACACUGGCGUUACUAUU